RNAcentral lists this ribosomal RNA (253 nucleotides) under uncultured bacterium. Its description in RNAcentral is "partial 16S ribosomal RNA". It matches the Rfam family "Bacterial small subunit ribosomal RNA", at positions 524 to 776 of the family's 1533-position model. The record is from RNAcentral.
UACGUAGGGGGCGAGCGUUGUCCGGAGUUACUGGGCGUAAAGGGCAUGCAGGCGGUCUGGCGCGUUUUGUGUGACAGCGGGUGGCUCAACUACCCGAGCAUGCGAAAGACGGUUGGACUUGAGGGCUCGAGAGGGACACGGAAUUCCGGGUGGAGUGGUGAAAUGCGUAGAGAUCCGGAGGAACACCGAAGGCGAAGGCAGUGUCCUGGCGAGUGACUGACGCUGAGGUGCGAAAGCCAGGGGAGCGAACGGG